Molecule: long non-coding RNA, 1879 nt
Organism: Eriocheir sinensis (Chinese mitten crab)
Lineage: Eukaryota; Metazoa; Arthropoda; Malacostraca; Decapoda; Varunidae
Exons: 3
Source: RefSeq, a predicted model, not a curated record
CUUUAUGGGUUCAACUAACACUUUCGAAUCGGUGCUCGACCCAGGCCUGGAGCACCGCUUCAAGAGGAAGUAAAUCUUCAUUCCCGACGAGACGAGCGGCGAGGCGGCACCGCGGCUCCAGGCGGGGCGGCGGCUCCUCCGACACCCGCGUCAUGCCCUUCAGCUUCCAGCAGCAGACGAGCGGCUGAACAGACACUCCCCGGGAUGACUGAACGACAGCCAGGCUGGACUGAAUGAUCCAGCAGUUGCUGCAGGUGUGGCCAGGUGUUGCAACCCUCCAAUAAGCACCUGUACCAAUCUGGAUAGAGAUGUGUAGUUCACAGUGUAAGGACAAUCCAGUUGCCAGUCAAACAUCUGGCACUGUUCCCCAAAAGAGCUGACAAACUCCGAGCCAAGUUUUUUUUUUCUUUACACUCUGGCCUAUAGCGCUGGUAGGCUUUCUUCAGGGGCCUGGUGGUCGACCCAAGCCCGUCAUGGCGCAGGCAAGUGUUUAUAGCAGCACCAUUUAUUCUUGGCUCAUGCUGCCCGCCGGAGCUCAUUCUUGAUUCACUUGGACAGUCCCUCUAGAGUUGGGGUUGAUAGGUGAUCUUCAGGACAGCACGUGGGUAGCCUUAUGCCACUUGGCAAUGACUGAAAAAUCCCAGGUGGUAGCAGAAGAUUUGAACCCGCAUUGUCCAGAACAUGGUGAACGCAGGACCUGCACACUAACCAUUCAGCCACUGCCUCUCUGUUCCAGCAUUAGUAAAAAAUGAGAGGCCAGAAGAGAGAGGUUGAUUUCAGAUGGAGAAGUGUCUCGAUAGGCAGGAGGAAAUAAAUGAAGGAAGGCUGCUCUGGAGUUAACCUGCAUAAGGAAUUAGGAUGGUAUAGAGACGAGUAGAACGUCCUCCAACCUCGUCAGGGACAAUCUUAAGUGUGUUCUUAACAACUCAAUCAAGGAAGAUAGCAAUACAGAAUCCCUCUGGGCAGAAACAAUAGGUAGGAAGAAGCUUGUCAUCGGAGUACUUUACAGACCGCCCAACCUUAAACCUUACCAGGGACAGUAGCCAACCCCUUUUACAAGAAAUUAGUAGGGCGUCAAGAUACAGGAAUGUGUGUGUAAUUGGGGAUUUCAAUUAUAGGAACAUAGAGUGGGAUACUUUAUCCGGAGACCAAGAGGCACAGGAUUUGUUAGAUGUGAUACAGGAUAGUUUCCUUAAAUAGUUAAUUAGAACACCAACGAGGGAAGAAAAUAUUUUGGAUUUGUUGUUAACUAAUAGAGAGGACAUAAUAAGCAACAUUGAGGUUGGGGAUUCAUUAGGUAACAGUGAUCAUAAGGAAAUUAGAUUUAAUAUUAAAUGGGAGGAUAGAGUAAGCAGUAACAACACAUUAAUACCUGACUUCAGGAAGGCAGACUAUGAGGGGUUAAGAAAGCAGCUGCAGAGGCUUAGAGGAGUGAGAUCAGAAGUAGGUCAGGACCCAGAGCAGGGAGGGGCGGUAAUCUCUGGUGAGGUCACUAGUCAGGUCAGUAGCUUGGAGGGUGAGUACAAUAGUCUGGUCAGGGAGAUUAAAUUAGGACAGAAACAGUUUAUACCUCACAGGGAAGUCAGGUCAACAGGUAAUUACCCGAGAUGGAUGACAGACAGGCUAAAAACUGAAAUAGGAAGGAAAAGAGGACUAUAUGUUAGAAUUAAAAGGGGGGAAACUCACCUAAGGGAUAGUUACAACGAUUUAGCUAGAGCAGUAAAGAAGAACACACGUAUGGCAAAACGUAAUUAUGAGAUUAGAAUUGCCAGGGAAGCAAAGACCAAUCCAAAGGGCUUCUUUCAGCUUUAUAAGACCAAGGUUAGGGAUAAGAUAGGGCCGCUUAAGUCAGGAGAAUCACUGAUUGAUAGUGAUGAGG